RNAcentral lists this unclassified non-coding RNA (345 nucleotides) under soil metagenome. RNAcentral's name for it is "partial contains 5.8S ribosomal RNA, internal transcribed spacer 2, and large subunit ribosomal RNA". The stretch from base 1 to 120 matches the Rfam family "5.8S ribosomal RNA", at positions 35 to 154 of the family's 154-position model. The record is from RNAcentral.
GAUGAAGAACGUAGCGAAAUGCGAUAAGUAAUGUGAAUUGCAGAAUUCAGUGAAUCAUCGAGUCUUUGAACGCACAUUGCGCCCCCUGGUAUUCCGGGGGGCAUGCCUGUCCGAGCGUCAUUGCUGCCCUCAAGCACGGCUUGUGUGUUGGGCCUACGUCCUCCUCCCGGGGGACGGGCCCGAAAGGCAGCGGCGGCACCGCGUCCGGUCCUCGAGCGUAUGGGGCUUCGUCACCCGCUCUUGUAGGCCCGGCCGGCGCUUGCCGACACAUCAAUCUUUUUUCCAGGUUGACCUCGGAUCAGGUAGGGAUACCCGCUGAACUUAAGCAUAUCAAUAAGCGGAGGA